This 590-nucleotide ribosomal RNA is filed under the name Bacillus pumilus. RNAcentral's name for it is "bacterial SSU rRNA". It matches the Rfam family "Bacterial small subunit ribosomal RNA", at positions 338 to 919 of the family's 1533-position model. The record is from RNAcentral. Lineage: Bacteria; Bacillati; Bacillota; Bacilli; Caryophanales; Bacillaceae.
CCUACGGGAGGCAGCAGUAGGGAAUCUUCCGCAAUGGACGAAAGUCUGACGGAGCAACGCCGCGUGAGUGAUGAAGGUUUUCGGAUCGUAAAGCUCUGUUGUUAGGGAAGAACAAGUGCGAGAGUAACUGCUCGCACCUUGACGGUACCUAACCAGAAAGCCACGGCUAACUACGUGCCAGCAGCCGCGGUAAUACGUAGGUGGCAAGCGUUGUCCGGAAUUAUUGGGCGUAAAGGGCUCGCAGGCGGUUUCUUAAGUCUGAUGUGAAAGCCCCCGGCUCAACCGGGGAGGGUCAUUGGAAACUGGGAAACUUGAGUGCAGAAGAGGAGAGUGGAAUUCCACGUGUAGCGGUGAAAUGCGUAGAGAUGUGGAGGAACACCAGUGGCGAAGGCGACUCUCUGGUCUGUAACUGACGCUGAGGAGCGAAAGCGUGGGGAGCGAACAGGAUUAGAUACCCUGGUAGUCCACGCCGUAAACGAUGAGUGCUAAGUGUUAGGGGGUUUCCGCCCCUUAGUGCUGCAGCUAACGCAUUAAGCACUCCGCCUGGGGAGUACGGUCGCAAGACUGAAACUCAAAGGAAUUGACGGAGC